CGGGGCGGGAGGUGGGGGCGCUGCCCCGCGCCUUUGUUCAGCGGGGAGAGGACCUGCGGCGGAGCCGAGACGACCGCGCAGAUAGGCACGCACCCGGCAGCGCGGCCCCGCGCCCACGGGACGAGGAGGAGGAGGGAGGCAGAAGGUCCCCUUGCAGCCUCCCUCACUCUCUCCCUCCCUCCAAGCUCAUCUUCGGCAACUUUAUCCGGAGAGAUCGAGGCAACUUUCUCCCAUCUCUCCCGCCUCUUCAAAGCGGUCAGCCUCGCUGUAGGCUCGUGAGGAAACCGGGGUUCGCAGUGUAAAGAAAGCAGAAGGUCAAAACAUGGCUGUCCAAAGAAUGGGAUGCUUGCCAAAACAUCAAUCUGUGCUGAGUGCCAUACUCAUUAUCCUUCCAGUGGUGGAUUACAACUCGGGUCUCCUCAGGAGGUGACUGAUGUGGAACAAACUGUACGACUGUCUUUGCUGUUUGGAUACGUGUGUAAGUUAACGGGCUACUGGGAGAAGAUGAAGAGGCUUUUGCAGAAAAAUGAGGAUAUCAUGGGAAGUGCUGCUGCUAACCAUUUGGAUUAUAUUGCUGUCUGACACAGAAGUUCUGCAGAUUACGUAAGGAACUCUCCAGAUCUUUUUUGUUAUGUGAUUGCUGAAGCAUUUUCCUGGCACAGCAGUAAUGAUUGAUGAACACACUUCAGGUAGGAAACCAGAUAUAUUCCAUUUGGUACAGUUGUUCAUUAACUUUCCUCACAUUGUUUUGGUUAAGUUUCAGUAGAAUCAGUCUUCAACAUUACAGCAUCAAAAUUCACUGAAUAUAAAAUAUAAAUAAUCUCUUGUCCACAUGAAUGUUUGCAUAUGUCUCUCUGUAAAUCAUCACGAACGGGUUUUUGGUUUUCCUCCCAGGUUUGGUAACUUUGACAACAGAUGACGUUACAUGUUAAAUUGGGUUUUAAUGAUCGAAAGAUUAUUGUAAAAUACAGUCUGUCACUACUAAUUCUUCUAUCAACCCACCUGCUCCUUCAGGAAUUAGUUCCAUCUACUUUAACUUAUACCAGAUUGGAACAUCUAUUCCAGAAGGCUUUACUUCUCUUAAGCCACACUUUCUCUGCUGAAAAAUAAAAUUUUGAUGUUGACCCCUUACUAAACUUUUUACCAGCUAGGCUGCUCAUAGUUUUCUAAAAAUAUCACCAUAAAGAGGGAAGCAAUAAAUUUUUUUGCGUAUCUGUAGUGAAUUCCAAUCUGCCCCACUGGGGAGAUACUGGAUCCAGCAAAUUCUUUUCUACUAGCCCUUGUGAUUCAAUUCUGGUCACACAGAUUUUGCACAAAGACCUGUAGUGGUCAUGACUUGCUUGAUGAAGGUUCCUAGUCUUGAUGAAGGUUUCUAGUCUUUCUGCUCAUAUCUCAACUUUUAAAAUAGACUUCAUAAAAUGCAUUUUUUUCUGAACAAAUGAAUUUCUAUAAAAGAUCUGUUUCCAUUAAAACCACCAAGAAUGUAAUGUAAAUAGAGUGGAAAGAUAUGUGCCAGUACUGUAUUUUAGCAUAAAGCUGCAAGAUUUUUGCUCAGUCUUGCUAUGUACAAAAGUUAUGUGAUACUGAUAAACUAUAAGAUUAUCAGUAAUAUGUAGUUAUCCUCUGCAAUUGAUUAGAAUUGUGGGUACAAAUGAGCUGGCUACUGUUAUAGUCUUUAUUGUUGCUACAGUAUAAAAGAAUUUCCUUCAUUUACUAUUGAAUUUAAUUUUGCGUUAGCAGUUACAGCUGUAGGCCUGAAUAUAAGGGCAGUUUCUGAAUAUCUUGAGUGGCUUUAAUACCUGUUCUUCGAGGUUGUGCCAAUCCAGGGAAUAGUGUUCAAAUUGUUGAUACUCUUGGAAGUUAACCCAAGCUCUUUAAAGCCCACCCAAAGGCAAGCAAGUAACAUUGGUUUUGAUUCAAUAAAUCAAAUUCAUUUUGCUCUGUCACACUCUUCCUGGGAGGCCAAGGAACUCCCAGUCCUCACAUCAGCGGGAAGUGCCUGGGUACCUAUGUGCUUGCAUUCCUAAUGAAGAAAAUUAGGAGGAUGAUGCACAAAAAAGUACUCUGGGAAAAACUCCUGGGCCCAGGGGUGCGUUGAGCCCUCUGUUCAUGUGGGCCUUGUUAUACUGGUAGCAUAGAGCUGCUGGAAAGUUGCUGCACAGAGUUGCCAACAUACAUUUCAGCUGAAGCAAAAAAGUGGUGUCUGAGUACAUGCCUUUAUUUCUGGUGUCCAGUUGUCCUCUUUUUUUUUUCUUCUUCCUUUUCAAGAGUACUGUGGAGAUAAGCAUGGCAAAGACUCCACUAUGUCCAUGUGGGACCCAGAUGUUUACUUUGCCUUCAGAUAAGGAUACAAAAUACACAAAUGGACGACCUUGGGGUGUUACUUUGUUCUGCAACUGCUCUGGGUUCUAAGAGCAUAAACACAACAAACACAGUGUCAUUGUUGGUUAGAUUGAGGAUACAGUUUAAGUCUAAACCUUAUAAGGCAUAGCAGACAACUGUCCUAGAUAGAGUGGCUGGUAUCUGAUGCCAGGGGAGAAGAAGGGUGCAAAACCAGCAUGUGGUUGCUUUCCAUCUCAACUGCUCAUAGUCUGCAGAUGAAGGACCUCUGUGUUGAGUAGCCUUGAGUAUAAUUUUCCCAUUCCAUGAAUUUUUUUGAGCUAUGUUAUCCCAGGUGAUUUCUGGGCUUUGUGAUUCUGCGCCAUUCAGAAUUCCCCAACUGAAUGCAAUGCUGUGAGGGAGAGAGCCCUCCUUGUCUAUGUCUUAGACCUCCUGCUUGCUGAUGUCACUUAAUCUGGAGACUAGGAUAAUGUGCCAGGAGAUCCAGGAGUUGCACAGUGCCUUUUCUGCUCUAGUGGGAUAGUGGAAAUGGAGGGUGGCUGCUAAGCUUUAAAGACAGUAUUUUUUUAAAGAGUUAUGAAGUGAAAUGAAACUGAAGGAUUUCUGUGACUCUGAUUACUGUCACCUUCAAAAUAUAUGGAUUUGAAGCAACUUUUCACAUCUGCCUUGCCUUCAUCUUUGAGCUCAUUUUCCAUGCUUUUAAUUAAUACAUAUAGUAUCAUUAUUUUACACGGAGAUCAAGUAAUUUGGACUUGUGUCCAUUUUGUUCCACUCCUCUGAAUUUCAGAAAUAAAAGAAGGUGCUUAGUCUCCCAAGCUGUGAGGCACUUAUCCUGGCAGGUUUUUUUUUCUGAUAGAAUUCAAGAUUGCAUAGAAGAAACUACCUAAGUUGAAAUAUCAUAGGGACGCAGGCUCUGAAUUAAGCCUUCCAGCAAGGCAUUGAAACAUAGGACUAUUAAUCAAAAUAUAUUUACAUAUUACAUAUAAAAAUAAAAAGAUAUAUAUAUCCUUCAAAACACUGCUGUUAACUUCACAGGAAUUUAGGUGGGUUUUAAAAAAAAGAAAAGUAUUUAAUAGCGUAUUUGCUGCAGAAUCAUUGUGUUGAAGACCUGACUCCAUGUGUUGCAACUACUACAUCAAGGCUAUAAAAGGAAGCGUGUACAUUGUAUAAAUUUACCUGACUUGGUUAGAUGGUGUGUCACAAAAAUAUACUGAGCAGUAUAUAUAAUAUUAACUACUGCAGUAGAAUUGUCAAACAGAAGGCUGUGGCUUCUGUACUGAAGAUGAUUCUCUUUAGAAUAAAACCCUUAGAUGUAUUAAGAAUUGAAUACAGAUUAUUACAGUUUUAAGAGUAAAGGCUUUUAAAAUUAUGGAAAAGCAGACAGAACCAAAAAAAAAAAAAAAAAAAAGAAAACAACUCUUAGCUAAAAUCUAGUUGAAGGCUAAUAAUUUUAUUAUACUGAUUCUCCUUGUUGGCAAAUAAUAUUCUGGAGAAAAAAUUAUUGCAGCUAGGUGAAAGUUGAGUUUAUUUUUGCUCUCACUUUUUUGGUUUUCUUCCAAUUGCAGUGAAGGUCUUGGACUUGCUAUUUGAUCCUGAUUACAGAGCCAACUUAACAUUGUACAUGUAUUUUUCAUCCAGACUGCCCUCAUUUUUCCUUCUGUGCUUGUAUUUGGGAAAGAAAAUAAUAAGACAGCUCUUAGGAAGGGUCACCUUAUUGUCCAGGGCUUUCAUCUGAAUCCUUCUAAGAUAGAAAGCAAGUUGGGUGCAGCAUAUCACUUAAGGAUUUUUCAUUUGAGGACAACUCCCUUGCCUUUGUUCUGAUGGCUCAUGCAAAAGCACACGAAAGGUUGCUAAGACAUCUUUCUCAGUCAAAGAAAUCAACUGGACACCUUGUUCCUCAAGUCCCCAGAAAAUGGGUGGGCGUUUGCCUUUGAAUCCCUUCUGGGAAGCUGCUGGAUGCUGAAUUUGCCCAUGGCAAGACCAGCUGUUUAAUGGAGAACAAACAGAAUAAAACUCAAAUGGCAGGCCUUGCAAGACUGAACUGUGGCUGGAGCGAGUGCUUACUGUUUUAAGUAUUCAAAAAGGCAGGCUGGUAAGAAAGACAGCAAAUGCCCUGUGCUUGCCUAUGCAGGAAGGAGUGGUUGAGAAUGUGUGGAAGAGGAGAAAGUGAACUGGCCAAUUUGAUUAGACUAAAGAGAAUAAGGCUUAGCCACAGAUCAUUUGAAUGCAUGUGAAUAUGCAGAGGUAGAUUGUUUCUUGACGGAAACUUGUAACAAAUUGAAAAUACAGAGCUGAGGUUUUCUUUUAAUUUUUCUUUUUUGUAACAGGAUAUAACUGACUGUAAACUUUGGCAAGACUCGAAUACCUGAAUGGCUCUUGAAACUCUGUUAGUGUUCUUCUAAAAUUGAUUCUAGAACAGGGCUAAAUUAGAAACUUUUCUAUAUUCUUCUUCAUGUUAAUUAGAUGAAACAGAAAGUUUUAUACUUGUUCAGAAAGAGGUCAAAGCAAGCAACAAAUUGAGCAUAGGAGAGCCAAACAAGGAUAAGUAAUGAACCAGUUUCUCAAACUGGCAAACUAGGAGUUUGAAAAAAGUAUACUUGCAGGCUUCCUAUAUUAUUAUAACCUCUUGAACAGAAUAAUCCAGUCCAAACAGCUAUAAAUGCUUUCCAAUAGAGAAGUUUAUGACCUAGUUUCAGACUGAAAUGCUCACAGUAUUGCAGUGUGUGGAAGAACUUAAAAGAAGAUGCUAGUGGCAAUGCCUUUGGAGCAACUCUGUGUAUUUAGGCAUUCCUGCCCUUUGCAAAUACUUGCUAAGUGGAGUCAAGUGGAGUCAACUUCCAAAGCAUGGCGCUUUUUUCUUCAGCAGGAGACUUCAUAAUUUAAAUACCUGGGUUGACAUGGGGAGUUUUCAUAGGAUGUCUGAUUUUUAUUUUUUAAACAUAGCACUAUUUGGAAAAAUAAUCAUUCUUCCAGUUAUUUCAACAGGAAUUCAGCAAUUACAGAAUGCCUCUCUACAUCCUGUGGUCCUCUGGAGCAGCGAAGCAGGAAAAGGUGGAUUUCAUCUGUUGAUGAUUCUUCUGUAGUGAGAUGAGGAAAGCUUUGAUUAGGCUUCAUUUGAUUCAUGAUCCUUCUGCAAGCAAGUUCAAGGGAAUGUGCUGAGGGGACUAGGAGCCACAGAGCAGUGAGGAUUUAUGCAUCUGGAAUAGAACUAUGAAUGGGAUUGCAGGAUUUACAUGGAGGACUCUGAAAUCCCUCACUUCCUGCUCCAGGAAGGGGGCCUGCUUUGUGACCUGGGGUACAAUCUAUGUCUGCUACUGAAGCUAUCUUGACUGGCAUGAGAAAUGUAAGAAUUUUGAAGAAACUUGGCCUGACAAAUAUCUGUUUGCACAUUUGGAUUUAUGAAAACUUCUGAUCACUCUGUGUCAUGGUCCCCUUCUGUAACAUAACAGGUAUACAAUGAUAUCUUUGACUUCAUCUCAUAAAGAUGAUGUGAAAAUAAAUCAUAUAAUCUUUGCAAUGCCUUUUGGUACUGCUGUGAUGAGCACUGUAAGAAAACCCACAAGCAAAUGAAUAAUUCAUUGUUUAAAUCAGGCUCUGAAUAGUACACAGUAAACAAGUCUUUCAUACUGAAUCGUAAAAGUAAGGCCAAAUAAUUAAUAAUUACUUAUUCAAUUAUCACUGUCCAUUCAGAGUACUGAUGAAGAAGAUGGGAAUCCCUGUGGAAAGACCAUAGUCAUGUCUUAAGGAUGGAGUAUUGUACGACUGGAAAUGAUAAUGUUGAUAGUUUGUUUUUUCUUUCUUUAUCUAAGACACCUUUGGUAUUAGUUAUGAUGUGUACUUUGGAUUAAAGAUGAAGUGUGUUAUUCUUUCUAAAUUGCUUGAAUUUAGUCUGCAGGUCUCCUUAUAGACCUUCACUUCUGUUUUCAGAAUUUCCUGUCUUGCCAUGAAUCCUUUUGCUAAUGGUGUUUAAGCAUCAAAAGAAGAGUAUAACACCAUCUCUGAUCAUUGCAGAAAAAUUCCUGAAUAUAAUUUUAAGAUUGAAUUUUAUCUCUUGAUAAUAAUUGCUCUUAAGAAAAAACUAAUAGAAGAGGAGAGUUAAACUCUUCUGCUGAGUAUCAGCUGGAUGACGAGAAAUUCUUUUUGGUAGAAUCACAGGUACAGGAAUAGCUUGUUCCAGUUUUCAACCUUGUGACCUUCCUUCAGAUAACUCUGAAUGUUCAGAUUUUAAGACUGAAAAAGAAAACAGAGAGGUAUUUGAAGCUCCACUACACAAAAAUGUCAAUAAUUCAGACUGACUGAUAGCUUCUCUAAUAACUAAAGUCACCUGCAAUUUUUUAUAGUCCUAGAGCAUAAGCCAUCUAUAACAUAUAAUCAGUUCCACUGUGAAGAUGGAACUGAUGUUUAUUUUUUCCUAUACAUUCCCUCCCUACUUCCUAAGGUGAAUUUUUAAAAAUCAAUUCACAUAAUUUGAUCAAUUUAAAAUACUGAAUACACUGAGGUAAUUAUAGCAAAGUUCUUGCAUCUUAUUGUGUCCAGUUACAGUAAGGCUACUUACUGACAGUGCAGCAUUAAAGAUAAACCAGCAUUUACAUGAAAACAGUCAUAAUUUACGUCUGCCAUUUUUAAGUAAGUCCUUUUAACUGAUUUUGAAGUAGUCUUUGCAAAGUGGUGAUUUAUAUUUUAAAAAUGAGGGCUUCAUCUCUUUCUCUGAAAAUGAUGCUUGAAAUCCGUAGGAGAGUGAAACAAGCAAUUUCAGUCACUAAAGAUAAGGUCUGUGUUUUUUAAAUAAAAGAGAGUGAAAGAGCUGUUGUUCUAAUUUAGCAAAAUUGUGUCAGCUCAGUUUUCUAUUUAUUUAUGGUAAAAUUCUGUUUCCAGAUUUUGAAUGCACAUAUUUAACAAGAUAUGGUCAGUCAGUAUGGUGGUGAUUAGUCCAAAAUUUGAUCAGGUUGUCACUUGACGCUCACUGGGCACUUUCAUAAAGGCCUUCAUUGAGAGAUCAUGAUCAGUACAAAGGCAUUUAAUGAAUAUUCCAUAACUGGGAAAAAGCCUCUUAAGGUCUAGAAUUUCAGAAAUACUGAAGUUUAAACAUAUAAAAAUAUCUUUGGGCCAACUGUUACUGUCACGUUCAGGUGCAGACAAUUUUAUAGCUUUUUCUUGAGAUUGCUACCCCCUAAUGAAUUUGUUGACAUUCCUAGUGAAAUUUGUAAGUAUAUUCUAUUCAUUUCAUAUUUAAAAGUAUAUUUUCUACUUAGAUAAAUAUUAAUGUAAGCCACACACAUAUUUAAAACAAUUUGGAAUGAUCAUAUACUCAUGUAGAUAAUGUAGAUAUACCUUAAGAAUGUUUUAUUUUUGUAUGAAAUUCCUGAAUUUUGAUUCACUACUGUAGAAGACUUCAUGAAACUCACAAGAGCCGAGUGUUCUUGGACAUUUGUGCUCUACCACUCUCAAUGUUCUUUUCUUCUUUGACUUAACAAUUUCUGUGCAAGAUCACUGUUCAAAUAUAUCCUAGAGGCAAGCACAGCUCUUGUUGAUUUAAUAUUGCAAUAAGUAUGAUAAAUAGCAGCUAUGGCAUACUAUUGUUUUCAAACGUGGUUUGGUUUUGUUUUUAAAGCAAACAGAUCUGUUUGAGACUUCUGGAACAAUCUGAAAAAAAAAAAAAACACUGGUACUUAAGAAUAGGAAGGCAAAUUUCAAUGAAAAGCUCUGCUAGAACAUUCAAGUGAUUGGAAGGAAAUAACGGAUCCAAUACAAAAGGACACAUCUGCAUUUUAGAAUUGUGGAGAAAUUGGAGCCUUAAGUACAAAAGGAAGCAGAUAAAUGUUUUGGAAGAAGGAGAAUUUCCUUCCCGGAUUCUAAAGCUGGCAAAGAUCAGUAAUCACACUUCUAUUAUUUUCUACAUCAGAGUAGGUAAUCUGUUAUAUUCUGCAUCAGUAUAAACUUAAAAAUGAUGGAUACAUAUUUCCAAAAGGUACCAAAUGUACCAAAUUAUUACAGAUUAUUAGAGAUGGUUGUUAGAUGCCAAUAUUUACUUCUUCCUCUGUCAACGUUUUCUUAGGAACUUAAGUAAUUUGAAAUCAGAGUUAGAAUAGAAUACAUAGCUGAGUUGACCUACAGAGGUCCUUAAGUUGAACUGCUGGACUGCUUUGGGGCUCAUACAAGGUUAAUCACAGACAGGCACGGGACAUCAACCACCUCACUAGGAAGCCUGUUCCAGUUUCUGAUCACCUUCAUGAUACACAGAUGUUUUCAGGCCCAGUCUGACCUUUCUCUGGUACAGCAUUAUGUUGUGUUCUCAUCCUGCCAUUGGUGACCAGGAGCAGAGCCUGGCAUCUCCCUCUGCUCCCCCUCCUCAGGGAGCUGCAGAGAGCAAUGAGGUAAUCUCUGGGCCUCCUCUUCUCCAAACUGGACAACCUAAGUUUUCUCCAGCCCUGCUACCAGCUUUCAUUCCUCCUCUGGACUCUUUCAAGGACCUUAAUACCUUUUUCAUUUUGUGGAACCUAGAACUCCAUACAAAAUUCAAGGCAGUGUCUCACCACAGCUAAAUACAAUCACCUCUUUUGACUGGCUGCUUGUGCUGUGCUUAAUGGCAACCCAAAAUGGGGUUUUCCCCUUGGCUGCCAGGACAUGCUGCUGACUCUUGCUGACUCUUGCUGAGCCUUCUUUUGGCCAGCGCUCCCAAAACCCUAUCUGCUGAGCUGGUCUCCAGCCACUAAUCUCCCAGUCUAUCUGUGUGUCUGGCACUGCUCCAUUCCAGGUGCUGCACCCAACAUUUUCCUUUCUUGAAUUUCAUGUCAUUGCUGAUGGCCCAGUGCUCCAACAUAUUCAGAUGCUUCUACCUUGCUGAUUAGCAUUAUCAGCAAGUUUGUUUAGGUUGUGUUCCACUCCUGCAUACAGAUCAUUGAUAAAAAUUUUGAACAGUACUGGUACUAGAACUGAGUGAGCCCUGGGGAACACCACUGGUGGCUGACCACUGGCCAGAUGUAGUCCCACUCACUAUGACUCCUCAAACUUUUUGUUCAAGCCAGUUCACAGUGAGUCCAAUACUUCAUCAAUCUCACAGCCAAGGAUAGAGUUCAAGGUUGGAGCAAAAAGUGUGAGGGUAUUUGAAACAACUUAUGGCCAGUGAUCUUAACAGACCAAAUGCCGGGUCCUACAUUUUGGUCUCAACAAGCCCAUGCAUCGCUACAGGCUUGGGGCAGAGUAGCUGGCAGGCUGCAUAGAGAAAAAAGAUGUUAGUUGACAGGCAGCUGAAUAUGAGCCAGCAGUGCGCCUAGGUGGCCAAGGUCAGUGGCAUCCUGGUUUGUAUCAGAAUAGUGUAGUCAGCAUCACUAGGAAGGUGAUCGUCCCUCUCCACUGGUAAAGCUGCACCUCAAGUACAGUGUUCUGUUUUGGGCCCCUCACUAGAAGAAAGACACCAAGGCCCUGGAGUAUGUCCAAAGAAGGGCAACAAAGCUGAUAACGGGUUUGAAACGCAGUCUUAUGAAGAGUGUCUGAAAAAAACUGGGAUUCUUUAGUCUAGGGAAGAGGAGGCUUGGGAGACCUCACUGCAUUCUACUCUACCUGAAAAGAAGUUGUAGUGAGCUAGAAGUUCGCCUAUUUUCCCAGGUACCUAGUGAUAGGACAAGAGGUAAUGGCCACAAGUUGAGCCAGGGAAGGUUCAAGUUGGAUAGUAGGAAACAUUUCUCAAGAGUGGUGAAGUAUUGGAACAGGCUGCGUGAAGGUUUUCAAGAAAAGGAUAGAUGUGGCAAUGAGAGACAUGGUUUAGUGGGCACAGGUGAUAGGUUGAUGGUUGGACUAGAUAAUCUGUGUGAUUUGUUCCAACUUUGAUGAUUCUAUGAUUCUGCAAUUCUUUGAUGAUAUCUGAAACUUAGAGGCAGAAGGCCUGAAGCAGUGCAUGCACCUUUCUCUUGUGAUGCAAGUAAAGACCUGAGUUAUGAACUGUGGACUUGGAGUUCUUUACGUAUUUACCCAGGGAUCUCAAAUCAUAUUAUAACGAAUGAAAUAAUCUUGAUCGCAAUGUGGAAGGUACCUGUAAGUACUAUGUACUUGUCUUAGGCAUGUAUGAGUGGAAAUAUAAAUCAGUCUGGCUUGUACUACAUGCAACAGUAAUAUCAAGAACAGAAAGAAAAUGUAUCUUUUCCACUCUUAUUCUGCUGAUCCAAGAGUGUAAGAAAGUUCACUCAUGCUUGCAGAAUUCUGCCUGCUGUCAACAGCACUUCUAAGAUGCGUCUUUAGCCUGCUUUCCAAUGAGAACAAGACAUUUUCUUGUUUUCCUCAUGCUCUUCAUCUCUUCAUUCUAAUAUUUCAUGGUCUUGGCUAAUUACUGGAGAGUUGGGCACAGCUGUAAGUGGAAACCCUAAAACUGUGAUAAAAUUGGUGACUGUCUUGAGGAAGAAGAUAAAUCAGUCCUUUCUGAGGGUCACAUGAGCUUACCUGGCCUCUAUUCUGUUUGAUCUGGGAGCUUGACAGCUAAGGACUUGCCAGAGCAGGGACUGUGCCUGUGCCCAGCCUCUGUGAAACAAGAUCACUGGGGAGACAUGGUAAUGUUAAGGUGGCCAGGAAUAAUAAUUAGCUAUACAAAUGGAAGGAAACUUCAAUUUUACUACUAAUACUGUUUACAGAAGAACUUGGAACUACUUUUCUGUCUCUAAUUAUACUGCUAGACUGUUUGGAAUUACAUUGUUAUAGUUUUCAUCAGCUGAUGAGUGAAAACUCCCAGAUUUUAUUUCCAUCCAUAUUGCUGAUAAAAGCAGAGAAUUAUUUACAGUAUUGAAGUUGAAGGCCACUGAAGAAAAUGUUUCUUUCAAUAAAUAAAUUGCAGCAUCUCAUACUCCAAGAGGUUUUUGUUUUUGUUUUAAUCUUCUAAGUAAAUGUCCUUUUCAGGGUUGGACAUUUUAAAUGAAUUUUUGUAUGGAUUUAGAAUUUUUGUUCUUUCUGCUAAGAAUCACAUAUGAAAUGUGUGAGGAAUGUGCACGACCAUGUCUGACUAAUUUUGUUCUUCAUGGGAGCACAGGAAGUAACUAUUUGGUGUAGAAAGAAAUCAGAACUGCAGAUCAGAAACAUCUCCCAGUCCAUUUGGAAAAAUAAAAUCCAGACUGUCCUCCUUCCACCCCUGCUGAAAAUAUGCUAACUUGGAUGUUCUUCAGUCUAAGCAAGCUCUCAAGGUCAUCAGAGUAAUUUUUCAAAGCCUUGCUGCCUCAGUAUUCUUACAGAUAAUAGCAUCAAGCACGUUAUCUCCUACUCUUCAAUUUUACUUUGGCUUCCUGAAAUUUACAUCCCAUUGUCCACUCAUAUUUUCUGCAUUCUUUUGGAAUAAAUCAAAUAGCACUUCUUAUGUUGGCUCUGGACUUAAUAAAAUUCAGACAUGCAGCAGUUGGGAUUUUUAAAAUAACACGUUUUAAUACAAAGAUGUGAGAUAUCUUUUGAAAUCUGUGGUGGAUGUUUGUUUCCUGCUGGGCUUAAUUUAGGAAUCCAGUGCUAGCAUUAAACCAAGGGGAAAAAUAUUUGUUCUUUCAUCUGUGUGCCACAUCCCAUCUGAAAUCACAAACAGCUUCUUUAAAUUUCUGGUCUUCAUCCCCAGCUGGAUGUACAUAACGCUCAUGCCUGUCUGAUGCAUGAGACAUAUAGAGCCUUAAAAAAAAAAAAAAAAAAAAAAAAGUUAAGCUAUUCUUAUUCUUCUCGUCUUAGACCUCAUAAUCAUCUGCAGUUUGGGAGAAGGUGUAGCUCUUUCAUUUUCUAAAGAAACCUCUUCUUAUCAAACCGAAACUCCUGAUUUUGUUAGAAAACAAUAUGCAGGUAAUAAUGCUUUGACAAUAUAUAACUUCUUUGUAGAAGGGGAUCCUUUCCCUUCUUUUAAUAUUUUCUUUGAAUAUAGAAGAAAGUAUCUUCAGAUGUUUCAAGGACAAAAUUUAGGAGUGUUAAACCCGAAUGUGAAUCUCUGUAUUCAGCACCUGCUCCUGUAGUUCUCAUAACCUGUACCAUACACCUUGUAGAAGGACUUCUGGUUUUGUGCAAGCUUGUGUGGGUUCAGCUGUUCACCUGCUUAGAUCCCAUCGAACAGCUAGGAAAGCCUUUCCUUUUCGUUUGGAAAAGGUCCAACUUUGUUCAAAAAUCAUCUUGGGCCCAUUGUGCUAUAAUAUAGAUUAGACAUGAAAAGGGUAUGUUAAAAAAUGUUAUUAAAUUGUAAAAUGAAACACUGAAAAGUUGGAUGCUAGAAUCAGUGCUGGCCCCGUAAUCUCAGUUGGUACCUUGCAGGUAUGACUUAUGAUACAGAUUUUAGCUGUAGAUUUGAAUCUUUUCUCUGUAGUUUCUCUGCCUCAUUUACAUGUGUCACCUUCUAACCUCUCCCUCCCUCAAAUGGAGAGCAGUCUUUAAACUGAUGAGUUAUUUGAUGUUUUGUUUUCUCUUUAUUUGGUGCAUGAGGAAAUUACAGUUACUGAAUGCUGUUCCAGCCCUGAUAUGAGGGCAAAAUAAUUAAUUUUUCCUGCAGUUCUCUGUGGUAAUUGGCCAGCUGUGGAACAGAGAUCCUGUGUGAUGUGACAAUGACAUUUUAGUUGUGAUUGCAAGGAAAACCAUGCAGAUUUAGAGAGUUUAGAUAUUGAAAUUUAAGUUAUUUUUAUAAGGUAUUUGUGCAGAUUAUUAUUUUCUGCUGGCUAAAGAGAUCUGGGAAAAUUCUGAGUAAACAAGAGGGUGUGUUCAUGACACGACAGACCUUUCAUUGAUACAUUGCCAGUUCCUGCUCCGAAGCAAGUGUGAUCUAAAACUUCCCAAGGGAAAAGCCAUUAGGAUUUAAUACAGCAUACUCUUCAAUUCAUUUGUUUGCGAAAACUAGAGUUCAUGUUUAUAUGAAAGGAAAAUUUCAGCCUAAACAGUUUAAUUUUGCUGGAAAUGGAGUCUGUAGCUAAAAAUAUCUGGCCCACUUCCUCAUUGGAUAUGCUGCUUAGAUUAUUUAAGUAUUGGUUUUGUGCAAGGCUGAAAAAUUCCGUUAACACCCUGACUUAUUUACUUUUUUCAAAAUAGCAUGUUGUUAGCAUGUUAAAAAUGUUCCACAUGUAGUGGACAAUAGCCAGCUGUGCUGUCCCAGUAAGAGUAUGGCAGCUACAACCAUCAGUUGGGAUGGGAUGGGAUAGAAGGUAAUGAGGCUGUGCUUUGAACCUAACUUGGAUGUGCUCGCUACUGAGCUAUCUGUCUGCGUGCAAGGAUUUAUGGACAUGCGUCUGUUCUUAAUUGCCUUCUGUAAUUCAUCUGCAUGUGUCCUAUAUAAGCUUUUUUAGGGUGCCCAGCAACAGAAAGAAAAUUAAAAUUAUUCUACAGCAGAGAGUUCAUUUUUAAAAUGACUUUGUUUACUCAGUGGUCUUCAAAGCUAGCCUUGUCCAUAGUGAUUUAAUGUUUUUUUCUCAACUCUCUUCAAAGACCCUAGACUUUGGCUAACACUGAAUAUAAAAAAUAAAUAAAUGAAUGAAUAUUUUGUUAGAGAAAAUAUUGACCUUUCUUGAGCUUGGUCUUGCAAAAGCAAGCUUUGGUAUCAAUCUUUAGCUAAUUGACUGGAAAGGAAUCUUUAGCUAAAGCUGGAAAGGAACUAGUGUGGUUGAGCCAUUGUAUGACUAUGAGAGGAGAGAGCACAUCCCAUCUACAACAAGGAGAGGGAGAGUUGUCUUUUUGCAGUCUCUUUGAUAAGUUAAAGAAAUACAACAGAGCAGGGAAAAUUCAGUUUGAGUACAAGUAUAUGACAGAAUGAACUAAGUAAUGAUCUCAGUGACAUGGCACUGUAUCUGCCAGAACAUUCUGCUGAUCUCAUGUUGAUAUGUUCACCAUUUAUGUGAAGAUGUGAUUUCUCAUGAUGAUAGUGAAUCUCAUGUAGACAGUAUUUCACCUAUUCAGAUCCUAAUGUAAGCAUCAUGAAUGAGCUAUUCAAUAAUCAGUUCUCUUUCUUAUCAGAGCAGUAAGUUGUCACAAAGUUAAAUUGCCAAAUGAUGAGUUAUCAUCAGUAUACUAUCUCCACUAUGGUGUACAGUUAGCCAGCUUUGCUACUGUCAAUAAGAUAAUGUCUGAAAAUUGAGCUAAAGUUGGACACAGGAUAACUCAGGAACAUGAAGAUGACCUCUGUUUAUUUACAAAAAUAUAAACUGAUCUAUCUUAAAAAAAGCAAAAAACAACAACAGCAAAAAACAUUUUCUGUUACUGUCUUUUGAUGUAUUUUGAUGUAUCUGUUCAAUCAAAACAGUCUUUUUGAUUUUGUUCUAUUUUCUUCUUCUUUUCUUCUUCAAGAAGAAAAUCUUGUAGGCUUGGGGUAAACCUUUCAAAAAUGACAAAUUGAUUAAAGACCUUAAGAACCAAUAUUUUGUACAGUGUUUAGUCAGCGAAAUCUCCUUUGCUUCAUCCCAGACAGACAAAUGUUUCUGAGCACACUGUGGUUCUGAAGGAAGGUCUUAAAAGCUAAAAUGUUUUGGGAAUUUUGAAAAUGCUACCUUCAAGAUUUGCUGCUCUAAUGGCAGCAAAUUUUAGGCAGUGAGAACAAGAUAAUGUAGUCCUGGCUGUGUUCACAUGUACAUUCAUUUAGUUUAGUUGGAGGACAGGAAAUGAGUGGCUAAGUACAGGGAAAGACAAUGUAGACAUUUUUCCCUGAUACAAUCUUCCAUUUUUUUCUUAUACCUUGUGAAUUAUCAAAGUACGUACUGUGAACUACAUCUGGCAUUAUUGUGCAAUAGAGCUUCAGUGUCCUGUGCAAUACAGCUUCAGUGUCCUGUAUUUUGGAAAAAAUAUUGGUGUGUGCAUGGUUCCAGUAGUUAUUUUUACUACAGCAUUUCCUACACUUAGAAUGGGAUACUCACAGGCAAACUUAGCUCAUGUGCAUGAAAAAUACUUUGUUUUUCAUGAGCGCAGACUACAACUUUGUUCAUACCUGACUUUUUUUUUUUUUUUUUGUAUUACACGUUUUCUUAACUUAAAAAAAAGCUGUGAAUUCUUAGUGUCAGUUUCUCAAAUGGUGGUAUUUUGUCCUAGUAAGGUACUUUCUUUUUUUUGUGGGCUAACGGUUGUUGUUAUGACGUAUAUUCUCUCUCCCAAAACUUUACUGCUCAUUCCUUUGAUGUGUCUUAUAAAAGUCCGAAGAGAGACAAGAACAUACUUGACUCUCAUGUAGCUAUACAUAAAGCCAAAUUUGACCAAAAUGAAACUAGCAGUAACUGCGCUUCUUUAUUUUAAUGUGAUAUUUACAUAAUACAUUAGGAUAUUUUGCUAACAUUUCAGAUAUUUCAGUUUCUCCUCAUCACUGUUACUCUUAAAACUGUUUUUGUAGAUUGUGCACCAGUAAACAGAAAAGGCAUCAAACUUUCAAAUGCAAUCUAUACAGCGGGAAUAUUUUUCUAUUAUGUUUCAACAGAAGAAAAAAAAUUGGCUUACAGCCCCUUAUUUUCUUUACAAGUACAAAUAUAGUUCAUGCUCAUGUUUUGUCUGCAGUGAAAUAAUCCAAACUGUAUAGUUCAAAUGCACAAGCUGCCCCCAUAUGUCCCUUUGAUACUUGCUAGCUGCUACUUUGUGUUAAGUUGGUAUCCAGAUUGACUGAAAUAAUUAAUAAGGCCCAUACAUAACUACUGGUACAAAAUAAGGAAACUUGAACGUGUGUUUUCAUGGACCUGUAACAAAACCUCACAGCAAGAUAGAGACAGUGUGCAGAGUUCACUAGUCAGCAGUGCUGAGGUCCAGAUUCUCAUGCCCAUGAGCAGAGACUUUGUUGGAUGACAGAUGAACCUGGAGGUACAUACUCUAUAGGAGAUGGGAAAACUUAGCAAUACGUGUAGGUCAGCUUUGCUCUGGGGCUAAAGCCAGGCUCUUGGAAGAGCCGUGCGUUCAUGGGCAUAGGGGAAAUUUUACACCAAGCCACAUUUCCUCUGUUCUCAAGGUAUUUUUUUGGCAGGCUACAGCAAAAUAGCUUAAACUUGGGUAUGGAUAAAUUCAGAAAGCUUUUACUUCAAAGCAGUCUAUAAGUGAAAAAGAAUACUGUAGAGCUGAAAAACUGAAUACUCUGCUGAAAAUUACUAAGACCUUCAGGAACAAUGCUGAAUGUGUGUGUAACUUAUAAAUGACUUUUCAGCUGAACAGAAUUGUGUAGCUGAAGUAAACCACUGUUUUCUAGGUGAAAUGGUAGGUGAUAUUUCUUCCCGCCUAUCAGAACUGAAAAAAGUAGUGCAUCUUAAGUUAUAGUUGAGGAACGAUAUGCAACUUCUCUGGUUUCCUUAAAAAGGAAAGGGUAGGAAUCAGAAAUGACUCUGCUUAUCUAGAACGAUUAAGUCCAAUCCUCUUAACUACACUUUAACUUGAUUCAGUCAGUCCCAUUCUUUUCUGCAUCAACGUGCUCUGCUAUCGGCCUUCAAGCAGAUUUUUAAAAAAGGUUCUACAAAACAUUGUCGUUUAUUCAUUAACAAUAAUUCUUUGAAUCCUUUUCUUUUUGGCAUCUUUUUGUCCUUUGAAUUUAAAGAAAUUUAAGUAUAGAUAUCAAUAUAUUUAUUUAUAUAAGCAUUUUGCAUGAACAUUUUGGAGAAAUUUAAAUUAAUGGCCAAAACUUUGGUAUUCCUUCCUAAGAAUUCCAGAUGCUUUGGAUAUAAUGUGUUGCAAGAAUUACAAGUACCUAUGCUAUUUUGGUAUGUGCUUUGUAGGAUAUGAUAUUAGAGAAUAAAUGGAAGCCAUCUUGAGGCAUGCAGGAUGCAGAAUUAGUGUUGUUAUCGAAUAAAUUAAGUCUUUAGUUUUUGCAAACUUUUAGUCCUGUACCUUGUCUUCUUGGCACUUCUGAAGUCUUUGCUUUGAAAAUACAGAGACUGCAUAUUAGCAUAUAAUACAGAUUUCUGCUUAAAGUUGGUUUAAUGGUUGUUGUUUAUUUUUCUUCCCAUUGCUAUAAGUUUACUUUGUCUUGAACUCUAAAGCAUUGCUCAUUCUUUGUGUUCUUUCUGCCUUUUCAAUGGAAAAAAUAGGUUGAAAGACAAGAGAAGAAGUUGGCUGUCUCAAAAGAACAAAUAAGAAUUCUCUGACUAGCUUUAGAUUUUUUUACGUACCUGUGCGAACAGUAUUAUGAAGUAAACACAGAAAUAAAAAGUGAGAGAAUAAGCUAGCAAUGUAUUUUCAACUGAUACAAGUUAUUCUUCAGAUUUAGUCCAUUUAAACAGUUUCCUUAAAUGCUGGUGUAGUAUAGAAUGGUUGUUUAUAAGUAUGCACAUGUACUUAAACCCAAUAACUGUCAAGCAUUUGCAUGUUAAUGAAGUGUUACAGCUCUGAGCAGUGGCUAGCAAGCAGGAGCUGUGGCGAUAGGAUUUAUUUUAAGGAUCUCAAGUAAACUGCCAUUAAAUGUAAAUAGAGAAUACAGCUCCUGUUGACUAGCAGAGACACUAUUUGUUACGGACUCUUUUUUUUCUUUUCUUAUAUAUUAUAAGAAAAGUUAUAAUAUUAUAAUAUUAUAUUAUAUCUGUAUUCUUAGCAGAUACACAACAAAGUUCUUGCUGUCUCCAACCUUUUCAUUUUUUCACCAGAAUAAAUCUCUACUGAGGAUGUAAAUGAAUACCCUUCUUUCUCAAACAGACAGCAGAACUCAUACGGGAAUAAUUAAGUCUAAUACAGCUCUCUUAGUGUCAUCAACUGAAUGAAUCUUGGAUUCAAAGUCCCGGAUGAGUUCCUAAGCUUUUUAAAACUAAGCUUCUGGACUGAAAUCAUAUGAGUUUUAAAUUCUGUUUUCAUUGGAAGAUCAAAGAAAAUACAGUGACAUUAAUGUUUAUUUUUAUUUGUAUAUCUUCUGAAAGAAAUUUGUGUAUUUAAUAGCACGCAUUUUCUGGAUGAGAUAAGGAAGGGAAAGAGGGAUGGUUUAUUGGGCCUAUAUGAAGAGUUGUCUGUAGGGCUGGCAAAAUCUUCUAGAGUUUGCUUAUCCAUAUAUUUAUUCUACAGAAGAUUUUUUUUGUGUGACCUGAUAAUACUGAUUUGAGAUUUCCUCGUGGGCUGGAUUCUAGAUGGAUUGCUUGGUGUCAAUAUUUGUUUUAUUUUGUGCAAAUUUUGAAAGUGUGAAAUUUUUAAAAACUGUUGUGAAGAGCUUGACUUAUAGCCAUCUUGUAGGCCCAGGACCUGCUGUUACAGCCCUGAAGAUGUCCUGCCUCCUAGCUGAACAAGCUCUGAUCCCUCAGUUUCUCACAGUGCUCCAGCUCUCAGCCAUCUUGGCAGCCUUCCACUGACUUGCUCCUGCUUUUUGAUACCUGUGUUGGCUUGGAGAGUCCCAUAAUGGGCUAAGUUUGGAGCCUAAUGACUUCUGAGUAGAAGGGGAUAAUUACUUCCCUUUGCUGUGCUCUGGCUCAUCCAGCCCAGAAUGUUGUUUGCCUUCUCUGCAUCCAGAGCUCACUGUUGUCUUUUGCUCAACUUGUGGCCCACCAGGACACCCAGUCUUCCCACAGAGCUGUUCCCCACCCAACCUGUCCCAGCCUGUAUGGCUGCAAGAGUGCAGGGCUGUGCAUCUAUCCGUCCUGAAUUCAGUGAGGUUUCUGUUGCUCUGUCCCUCCAGCCAGUGUAGGGUCCUCUGGAUGGCACUUCUGCAUUUCUCCAGGCAAAAGGGAUCUCUGCUGAUUUCCAUGACUUUUCAAAGACCAUAGAGAGAAGUCAUGCUGUGAGAGCAACCACCUUUUUUUACAUCACUGGACAGGCUGUAGUAGGACUGCGUGCAGCAGUGCUGAAAUGAUGGCUGCUUCUGCUGCCCUGAGGAAGAUCAGAAGUGAAUUAUUGUUUGUUAAUUAAAGAAAAAGUUGAGAUCUCUUCUUGCUUGUUGAAGGUGGUGAGCCUAUGCAGCCAGGCUCCAUGAGGAGCAAGCUGUGCUCAGUCCUGGCUGCAGGCAGGUCCUCUGAUCAUUUCUGUGGGAACAAGCGUUGGAUCAGCAAAUGUGAUGUAUGUGAGAAUAACAACACACAAGUAUUGACAUUCUGGAAACCUGAGCUACUUCUGUGGUUGCAAACUGUCUGCCUUCAGCUGCAUGUCUUAAGUUGCACUCAAGGAAAAGAUCGAACAGAUCUCCUGCUCUGCCUUUUAAGCCUAUUGUUUGUAGGGAACUAAGAAGUGCUUUAAUGCAUGGCAUAUGAGAUAACACUGCUGUAGAGAUGCUGAUCAACCAGAGCUUAGUCCAGCCUCUCUGUUCUACUUACACUAAGUGCUAUGGCCAAAUGAUGCAUUUGUUAACUCUUUGCAAACUUAGGACAAGGAUUGCCAUUCUGGCAACUCCCAUAAAGGAGAAGACUCCUACAAAACUUGGGGAGUGGUAGUAUUAACAGUAUAAGUUUUAUUUCCCUAUCCCCUUUUUUUUCUGCCUUCCUUCAAAAAAUCCUAGCUCAUCGUAAUUAGUAAUGCUGUGCAAAAAGCUGUAUUAAUUCAGGCAAAAAGGAAGGGGAAAAACAUUACAGCACCAUUGCGUUCAACAUUAUUUUAAAUGUCAGACCAUAGAACCUGGUUGUCAAGAAUCAUCUUCUAGCAUGAGGCCAGGCCUACAAUCAGUGACAAUUGAACUUUAAAAUUGUGAAUCUACUGUCCCUUGAAUGUGGAUUUAACUCUUCUUGAUAUGUAGAUAAUGGCAAAAUUGUUCUUUAAUCUGUGAGCAGCAGCCAAAUUUCUUCCUCAUUGGCUACUUACUAGAUGGACUUCCUUUAAACCUUUUUGUUUUAUAUAAUUCCGGUCAUUUUUGUGUAUUGCGAUUUAAUUACACAAGAAAUAUAAAUGAAUUUAACUUUCAGGAGGAGGUGUGAAUAAAGAGUUUGCAUCUGAGAAGAGGAACUUAGCAUCAUGCCUAUUAAGCAGCAGUAGGAUGAAAAUCUCAGUGUGCCUGACAGCAACAUAUUCUGUUGCCCUUGCUGUCAUUCUAAGAAGCCUUUGUAGAACUCAGUGAGCUUUAGAGAGCUAUGUUUGUUUUUAUAAUUAUUCCUUCUCCCCUUCUUUCCCUUUUUAAAUUUUUAUUUUAUUAAUUAAUCUGUAUGUUAAUGCCAUUAAGCACAGCUUGUCAAAGUACUAGCAUACACCAGAGAAACUGUUGGCUUCUUCAGUUUGACCAGCUGAAAAUUGCCCCUGUUGUCCAAACCUGCAGCCAGGGAUUGAUGUGGUAUGGGAAACCUCAACUAUGUUUCCUCUCCUUAUGAGUAUGCUGCCAGAAAAGCAACGUUCAUAGAGACCUCAAGGCUGUUUCCACAAGCCAGAAGAGUUGCUUCUCCUGUAUGGGAUCCCUCAGUGUCGUGGUACCUUCUUGCAUUGCCCUCCAGCUUCUGCAACAGUAUUUAUUGCAGUGUGCUGCUGAAAUUGGUUUUGCUUGCAGAAGUUGCAUUUCACUGAGGUUCUGAGCGUUACUGAAUCAUCCUUAAUAAACUGUGCUUUCCUUUAUUAGUUUUUCUAGAAUAUGAGGUUCAGACUUAUUUCUCAAUUUACCUGCUUUCCAACUCAAAUCCUCUUUAGAGCAGCAAUAUUGCCCAGAAAAUAUAUUUUCUACAGUCAGAGCACUUUGACAUUGUAAGCAGAGGACAAACAACUUAACUUUAAUUCGUGUAGUUUGAAAAAACCUUUCAUUGACUCUUACCUCUGGUUGUCAGUUAAAAUCAUGGUCUUGGUACCAAUGAUAGCUGCAGUUCUCGUUUUUGCCUAAAAACCUGUGUUGUGUCAAAAACCAAAGUAAUCUUGUUUCUUUUCGGUGCACCGAUACUUGGCAAUUCUGAACAGGUCAUAAACUCAUUAAAACCUCUCCAUUAGUUCUUAACCGAUGUUCAUACAGUAGCUCAAUACAAAUUGUGUUUACACAAUAGCAUUAAAAAAAACCCUGUGCUAUGCUUUUUCUUGUUUUUAAGUUUCAACCAAUUUGUAUAUUCUAUGCAUACUGCAGGACUUGUGGGAGGAGGUGGAUGCCUCAGAGGCGAAUGCAGCAUUAGUUGACCAUCGGUUAUUAAAAACUAUGCAGAAACCUCAAGAGCUGCUUGUCUUCUUUUGUUGCUCCAGGAGGUAUAGGCUGCAGAACCAUUUUUAGAACCUUAUUUCUCACUUUCAUGCUUGCCUAGGGGUGAUUUUUUCUCCCAUGAGUGCUAUAUUCUUGUGAGUGAUACACUGGCUACAUUCAGGCUGAGUCAACUGGUGCUUAGAGGAGUAGGCAAACAUGGCAGCAUGAUGGACCUGAUCAGCAGAAGCCAACAGACAAGCUCCUACAUGGUUUGUAGAAAGCUUGCCAAGCUAUGACUAGGAUUCUCAGCAGAUGGCUUUCCUACCAACGAACGUGAUGAGAUACCCCAAACUUUUUUGUGGAUAUGCCCAUAAUCAGAGGCACUUGAAGUAGCUCUCAGUUUCUCUGUCCAGUUUGUACUGGCAUUUUUAAACAGACUAUGAAGCAAUAAAUAUCCUUUGUAGUCCAAAGGCCAAUACAGGACAGGGAGGCUUUGAAGGGGCACAAGAAAGGUAGAGCCAAAGUAAACACCAAGAGAAGAGAGGAAGAAGCAGAGGGAGUACUGGGAAUCUGUCAGGUGCAGAGAAGGCCCUCUGACAUAAUUGAUUAGUUACAACACUUAGCAUACAGCAGUAAAAAGAGCCUUUCUAUCCCAGAGGUAUUAUGUUUGCAAUUGCAGUAUGCUCCUGCUGGGAAGAUUAUAUUCCACGUCUGAGUUAUGGCAAACUGGAAUUGUUUUGUAGUAACUGUAUUUUUCAACAAAUGUGACUUUAAACUGAAACAUCAUACUGCUUGUUCUCACCUAUGCUAAUUAAAAAAAAAAAAAAAAAAAAAAGCAGUGUGCUGCAGGUGUACUGCAGGUUUGGUUGGAUUACUAAGCCUCCCUGAUUGGGUUCUUAUGUCCCAAGAACAUAUUGAACACAUGCUCUGGUUCUGUUCAAAGGCCCCAUGAGAGGCAGGGGCUGAUUGAAAGCUCUGUUAUACUGAAGGGGGUGACCAGAAUAGAACAGCUGCUGUAAACCUGCUGAACAUUUUCAUUUAUAAAUAAUUUUAUAUACUAUCUGGAACAGAAAUAGUGCAAACAUUUACAAAAGUUGUAGCUGAGAUUCAGGUUGAACAGUAAGUAGGAAAUGUCAUUAAAUAAUUACCAGAUUUUAAAGGUCUCUCUAGUGUCUUAAAGACAGAUACUUAGGUUAGAGACAUUUUAAUUGAAACACAUUGACAGCUUUUCUUUCCUUGCAGUGUGCUUGUCUAAGGUUCAUCUGGGUCUCCCAUAAAGUUCUUGACAUUAUCCAAGAAUCAUGCUGUGAUUUAGCCCAGGACAGUAUAUUCAUUAGGUAUGAGGUUCACCUGCUUCAUGGGCAGGAAGGGUUGUUCCUGUUCCCUGACAAAGUUUCCCUCAGAAAACCUUCACCCUCCUGUAUGUAGAGGUAAUAUAACAGAUUGGACUGACCAAGAGACUGUUUUUAUUUCAGAUGGAAUAUAGCUAAGUAGUACAUGGACCCAUUUCCCAAAUCUUCUCUCUAGCUUCAAUGGAGCAGAUCCAACCUUUGCAGUGGAGGCCUGGCUGGAAUCUGUCUGAGAUCACCAUGGGAAGGGCACAAUACACUGAAGGAUAGAUGUUUUUCCCCCUUAGGAUGCUGAUGUUCUAUGGAAAAACAAAACCAAACAGAUUUUUGCAAUCUGAGGGAGAGAAAGCCUUACUGAGGCUUUUGCUCAGUAACGCUCUGCUUACUGAGCGUUUGCUCAGUAACAGAGAUCUCAAAAAUUGUGCUCCCCAAAAAACCCUGGGCAAGUUCCCAACUCCUGACAGUGAGUAACCAUGUCACUGCCAAUUGGUGGCCUUGCUGGGCUCAUCUUUCCCUGGCCUUGCUGUCCUUUAGCUCAUGAAUGCUGCUGUGCUGAGGCAGCCCAGUGAGGCCUGUUGGAGCAAGCAUGUGAAGGCUAUGCCACGUGACCAAGCCAUGACCUGGCUCCCUCCUGCCUGCUUGGCUUGCUUGUGGUCUUAUUUGGACUUAGUGUCUGUUGGUACCAUUGCAUCUGAACAGGUGUGGGCUGGAUGAGGAGAUGCGUCUAUUUUGUAGAAACUGGGUGAAGGUGUCUCUCCUUUGUAUGCUUUUACUGCCCCCAGUGAUGGAUAAUGUAAACUCCUUCUGCUUUGAGUAUGACAGGGAUUUUUACCUCUUUUCUUAACAAAUUUCUAUUUGAAAGAUAAAGUAAAAAGAGCUGUGACUAUCCCUUAUGAUUCAUAUGACUCUGUGAGCAACAGAGCAGCAACUAAAUGACUCAGCUUGUGGAUGCUCAGUGUAUGCUAGCUGGACGUUUAAUGGGAAAUAUUGCAGGAAAGAGACUGUAAACCUACCAACUUUGUUACUUCUAUGUUCUGGGCAUGGAUCAACUGUGUGUGUGCUGACAUGAAUCUUUUAAGUUAGGUGCCUAACAGCUUAAUCUCUUUCUGGAAAUUUGGUAGUGAAGGCAGGUAGAAUUGAAAGACUUAUAGGGAUUUGUCAGGUAUAAAGGAUGAAUUGAUGUACGGGGCAGAUAUUUAUCACAUAGAAGCAGCACUUAGGUUAUAAACCGGCAUAGUUCUUAUAAGAGUUCCUUUUUCUUCUGUUGAAGUGGGUGGAAAUCUUAUGUGCUAGUUAAUAAGAAGGUGGUGGCAAUCACUGGAAAGCAGCAAUAAAGAAGGAUUUCUGAUCAGUUGUUUUAUGCUGAACAGGCAGGACUGAUAUAGCUCUAUAUCUUAUCUGUUGGCAUAAUUUACAAGGAAUUAAAUACAACUUCCCUUACUUCAUACUGGAUACGUACAAUGCAUUUUCAAAGUACAACAUAGUGACUUGGUUUAAUGGCAUUUGCACUCUUGAGUGUGUGACAACUACAAUAUAUUUUUAUUACAGCUUCACUGUAUUAACAGCCUAUGAAAUGAUUGCCUGGGUAUUAUAGUUACUUUUCAGAAUUGAGUUUGCACUUUCUUCUGAGGGCUCAUUUUUUUGUGUUGAGCUUUGUCCUCCUGACAAGAUGCUGAAAGAAAACUGGGAGACUGAAAUCUAGAACCAUUAAAACCUGGGUUUCCAAAAACUGAUGUUAAUUGGCGUAUGACUUCUGUCAACUCCUUUUUCCCUCAGUUGUUAUAAUCCAGAUAGCAUGUUUGUGUGUGUGUCUACCUUCCAGUCUCCUUGUCUGUCUCCACUCAUUUAGGUAUAGUUCUCAAAUGUCUGAUGUGUGUGAGCUCAUUCUGCAGCCUUUUGCUCCAUCAAGGCACUAAAUAGCCCUCUCUUGGAUGUAUUCCAUUGUAUAUUUUAACAAAAUCUCUAGGAACACACUGUCUUUGAGAUGCAUGUGUCUGUGUUCAGCGAACAGGUCCAAAAAUUUCUGGGAACAAGGGCAGAUAGACUACCAUGUGCAUAUUGCGCGUAAUGAACCUAUAAACUUUCCAUGUUUAGGAACAGUGUAACUAGUAUUGCUUGUGAUCUUUUUUCUGUGCACUGGAUGAAUUUUCACAAGCUCUGAAAAUUAAAUCCCACUUCAAGAAGAAACUGAUUUGCCUUUGGGUUUUUUCCAGGCCUGUUGUUUAUUUAUAUAUUUAUUUUGCUUUUCUGUAAUCCAUCUUCAUAAGUGGUUUAAGAGAAAUGCUGACACACUCUUACCUCUGCCAUCACCAGUGGGUGCUAUUCUAAAACUGUAUAAUGAGUUUAAUGAAUAUUGUGGCUCAAAGUUAGACACUGAACCUGAAUUGAAAGCAUUCACCAGUGAAAAAAGGAUGGGCCAUUAUUGAUAGCUAGUCAAAAGUGAAGACUUAGCUGUAAUUAUUUACAAAUCAAUUAAUGGACCUUUCCUCUAACACCCUAUCCGUCAAAGACUGGCUAAGAGCGCAGGGAGAGCCUUGAUAAGAAUACACCAUGAAACAAAAUCAAUUGUCUUUUGUCAUUCUGACAGAAGUGAGCUAUACAUGUAGAUUAACCCAGAAUGCAAUAGGAACAUGUCCACAGGCUGGAAGAUAACCCAAUUUCAUAAAAUCAAGGUUGUCAUAACAAUAUUUUUGUAAUUGAUGGCAAGAUUAGAAGUUAUCUAACUUCAUAGUGGCAAGAAUCAAAAACACUUCAGGUGCAGAAAUGCAACUCAUUAAAGCUAGAUUUAUUUCCUCAACUUGGGAAUCUGUCCUUAAUGUCAGCUAAUAUAAAGAAACUACACCUGUAGCACAUGCUUUUAAAGUCAUAUGUUUAAGUUUAUGAUUGUAGCUGGCAGUUGCGUCAGUGAACAAUAUGCAGUUCUUGGGCAUUGCUGCUGCAGGUGUGUUUGUGAUGCUGAAGAAAAGCAGCCAAUAAUUUUUACCUUGCUUUUUGGAAAGAAGUUUAUUUUUAUUUUUUUAAUUAAAAUGUACAAAGUCUUUAAUUCAGAUUUGAGGUUGAAUUAUGAUGAUCUUCAUACCGUAGCCCUGGCUGCAGAAUGUCUCUACAAAAGAAUGAUAGGAAUAAAUCUUAAAAAUCCUUCAAAAUAGCAGAUGAGAACAUGUAAACUACUCCAGUAAUUAUUAGUAGACUCCUAAGAUACUGUUGGAACAACUUAUUUAAGUGAGACAAUAAAAAACUAUUAGUUGUAGCAAAUAUUAGUUGUUCAUGCAACAGUACUAUGUAUUUCUCAAGAAAUUUUCAGAAUCUUACCUAUUUUUUUUCCUUUGCACUCAAAUCAAUCCUCUGGUUUGUGUCUCCAGCUGAGCAGUACAUAUUCCAUAGCCUUGCAUUUAACAUAACUUCAUUCCACUCAAGCAUUCCUUAUCUGCUACCUCAUCUCCUUGAGCUGAGCCUUCCUUAGGUUGCUUUUGGAAAACCCUGAAGAAGAAACCAUUGCACAUCCACCCAUGCUCUCUCCACCUAUCAACUUGUGUUGGUUCGAGCUGUAACAUACUUUCUGCAUUUCCACAGGUUAUUUUGUAAAUCAUCCAAGGAGCAUAGCAGUUGCUCUGUCUGUCCAUUCAAUUCAUUUCUCAGCAUAAAAUAACUCUGAAGAUUGUAUUUCCUCCAAGAUUUAGGGCAAUAACUCUUUUUUUCUUGCUGAGUACAAGAGCAUGAAUACCUAAGAAUUAUUUCAAUACAAGACAGACAAAAAUUAAAAACAAAACUCAAACCAAAAAUAUUAGUCACAAAGAGUUAUCAGUAGUGUUUUGUGGACAAGAGCAGGGGUCAAUAGAAUAACCUUUCCAUAAUGUCUAAUGCAGUUACACAAGUGUUUCCUGUUUCCAGGCUUGACCUGAACAAACUCAAGUGGUUUGCUGGAUGUCCACGUGAAGAAAGCUUUGCGUUGCUCAUUGAUCUGUAGGGUAACUGUAGAAGUGUGUGCUGCUCUGGCAGAGGCUUGGAUCCUGACAUGGAGUGAGUUUUGAGAGCAAAUCACAGUGGCUAAAAGUGUGUGAUGAAUGUUAGAAUGAAUGAUAACAAAGAGCAAAUUUUUAAAUCUUCCUAGUACCAUUAGACCACGAGACAUUAAAAGAGUGGGAAACGAGAGUCUGCCAUCUAUUGUGUGUCCAGGUACAGCAGUCCCAAAGAAGACUCCUUGGUGUUUUCUAAGUGCUUGUAGUUUUCAGAGACACUUAAAAAAUAUUCAGUGGAAAAAUAAAUGUAUCAAAAGAACAAAAAUUGGGAGAACUGUGGUUUCCUUGGUGACCAUAACUCACGAGUUAAUUAGCAUGUCUGGUGAUUUUUGCUGCUCAUUUUUUAAUGUUUCCCUCUACUUAUUUUCAUUAAUAUAUAUUUAAAUUUUAAUGUUUUUCUUACCUACUAUAUUUCAUAUAUAUGUAUUUAUCUAUCAUUGUCCCCACCCUGGCUAUGCUGUUCAAAGACUACUUCUUUUCCUUUCCCCACACCCUCCCCAGAUGAGGCAGAGAGGAAGGGGCAGAUGGGGAACUGCAGAACUGAAACCAGCAUCCUAGCAUCUUCCCUGAAGUAAUUCCCCUCCAAGAAAAUAAUUGUCUAAUCUGUGAGAAACCGAACUCUUCAUUCAAACUUAUUCCACUUCUACUUCUAAUGUAUCAAAAUGACAUGGUGAUGUGAGAACACUGUAGACAGGUAGUAUCAUAGGAAAAAAUAACUUGUUUUCAUUGUGAUUGACACAAAUUUAUUAUUAUUAUUAUUUUAAUAUUAAAAUAACAUUAGGUGUGUCUUCUGACAUACACCAUAACCUUGGCAUUGGUCCAGGAAUGCUGACAGAGUAGGGACUGAGGUGUGUUUUUUUUUUUUUUCUUUCUCCUCCUGGUUUUUCUCAUGGUCAUGGGCUGAUAUAAGUUUCUUGGGGAAAAAGAAAAAAAAAAAAAAGCUUUAUACCUUUUCUAGUCAAGAACCAUUUGCUUCAGGGAAAAUUUGACUUAGACUGAAAGCAAGGUGAGUAGAGGAAGAGGAGUGAAAGUACAAAAUCAGCUUCAAAUCACUGCUUGGCACAGUCUUGAAUGUUUUGUUUUUUUCUUUUGCUUACCUUUGGGAAAGGAACAUUUGGAUAUAGCACAGCAACAGUAAUCAGCAAUGACUGUCUUGUGUAGCAGUUUUCCUUGGAGGUACACCUGUUCUAUGUGAUUCGCUUCUUGUAGCUUAAAAACAUGCAAUGCUUCCAGUAUUUAUGUCCUAUUUUAUCUGUUGAUCAAUAGUUAAUACUGUGGGGAAAGAAGUGUGUGUCUCUGCAAAAUAGUUUUGAAGUGCAUUUUAAGUUUUUCUGUGUGCACUCCUCUGAUUUCUGGUGUUUUUUUAAACAGAAGACACAAUGAAGGGUGCUCGUACUUUCUAAUUUAGAUGUAGCAGUUAUUUGGAAAUCCAAAAUUUAAGUCCUAACUCAGUGAAGAAAAGUUGGUGUUUACUUGAGGUUAAAACAUCCCUCAAGUAAAUAGUGUAAACACUUAGCAAGGAAUUCCAUUAAAAGCAAUUGCUGAGUUCUUACAGCCCACUGAAGGUAUCUGGAAUACAUUGUUACUUAGACAAAUGUAACAAAGUCUUCCUAGAGAGGCAAAUUUUAUUUACUGAUUACUAUCUUUAUUUUUAUUUUUUUCCAAUUUACAUUUUUUCCCAGUAAAGAUUUGUUUGCCUUGCCUGCACAUCUAAGAGCGAUACAGUGUGUGAUAACUAAUGCUGAACUUCUAUUUUCAGAAUAAAGGAUUACAUGAGCUUUGUGUGUAUAAAUGAGAUGUGGAGGAAGUAGAUGGGGCAUUUGAACGAAGUAGGGGGUUUUGUUCUUUUUUUGAGUGAAACAAAACUGUACCUGAAUAUCAAUUCCAAGUGUAGCUUAGUUGCUCCAGAAGUGGUUGGGCUGACAUAAUUUUGUAUUCACUUCUGUCUUUGAAGAAUUUAUCUAUAAGGUUUCAAACAAAGGCAUGACGUACUUAGGCAUCAGAAGUAUGGGUACCUGGGACAGACAUGAAUCAACGAUCUCUUCUGAUUCAAAUCCUGAUGCAUCAAGCUAAACAGACUAAAAAUAUCACAUUAUAAGGACAUAAAUCUUAAUUGACCAAGUAAAUGGUUCUCCAUGACUCAGGGAAGUUCAUUUGGCAUUUUUAAUCCUGAUUUUCCUGGGCUUCUCCCCUAAAUUACUGUGAUAGUAUAAAACUUCUAAACAAACUCAAAAGAGCCUAUCUGCCAACAGCAAUCUUAAUCCAUUUUUGAACAACUACAUAAAAUAUUUUGGUAUCCAGAUUUGCAGAUGAAAUCAACAUUUUUUACAUUCAUGUUAUAUUUCUGGCUCAGAAUACUGGGAACCCAAAAAAGGUUAUUGUUCCAUUUAGUUUGAUGUUCAUGCAGUAGGUCACCCUUUUUGACAGGCUUCUAGGUUUGCAUUUUAGAUCUAUGCUUGCUGACUCCCCAUGAUUUAUUGAAAAUAUUAAACAGUUUUAUAAAUCAUGGUAUUUCACAUAGAAUGACCUGAAGAUCUAGCAUCGCUCCUUAACAUCCCAAGGAAGAAAUGCUGCUGACAGCAGACUAGGAAAUUGAAAUAUAAACUUGUAUUGUAAAUUGCAUACAAGUGCAAAAUGGUAUGAGGUGACGUAACUUUCUCUUGUAAAGUGUAGUAAGAAGGAAAAAUGUUAAUUGUCUUAUGGUUAAACAAAGUGACACGAUUAACAUCAGCCCGGUUUUUAUGACAUUUCUUUGAAACGGUAGUGUUUUUAAUUGCUUAAUAGCAUAGCCAGCCUAAAGAUGGCUUUUACACAAAGGAAAAGAACUUUGUCCCUGUCCCUGACAAAGUUCCCUAACUGUAUGUAGGUUCUAGUCAGUGUUUCUAUUUGUGAUAGAAAAGUAGUUUUCUUCAUCGGUACCCCCUUUGACCAAAGUUAGCUGUAAGUCUUAAUUCCAUCUUUAGUGCUCAGGAGUACAAGAGAGACACUAGUAUGUAUGCAGAAGACAAGAAUUGAGCACUUGUUUCUGGGGGGUGGGGGUGGGGGGGAAGAAAACAACAAGAAAAGAAAAAGAAAAAUACCAUGGGAUUAAAAAAAGGAGUGGAAAAUGAAGACAAUGUAGAAAAUACACAGAAAUUAUGGGAAAGGUGUGUGAAGGAACAAGAGAAAAGUCAAAUAUCACAUUUAAAAUUUUGUCAAAAUAACAUGCUGUAGGCUGUACUACUUCCAUCUUUUGGGUUAGAAAAGAUGUUGUUGCUGGUUAUACAUGAACUAAUAGGUAAAUUGAAUCAAAUGAAAACAGGAAUGUAGAAUAAGUAUUAAAGUUUGAGGUCAGGUUUUACAACCUUAAAAGAGAGCUUAAGAAUUACAGAUUGUCGAACUUGCUGAAAUGUGCUUGUGUAUGAAUGCCACUCUUCACAGAAUUUGUAUAGCAAUCACAGUUGUCAAUAUUAUGGAUUUAUUGCUGGCUUUACCUUUAGAGAGCAACCUCAUAAAGCAAGAAGGGUAUGCUGUUACUAUUACUCUUUGUACCCCUGCAUCAGAAUGGGAAUGCUAGCGGACUCUAGGGUAGAUAGUGGCUUUGUGGUAUUUGUUAUACAGGAUUAUUCUAUGUUAGUGCGCUGUCAAAGUGUAAAAACGCAAAUGCAUAGGCAAAAAGUCUUCCUUCAGCUGUGCAAUAUGUUUCCAUUCCACAGGACAAAUAUAAGCAGGUAGAAGGACAUGAAUGUUAAAAUAACAGAUGACAACCCACCAAUCCAGCUCUUGCACCCAUAACCGUGGCUGUGGGAAAACAAGCAAAUUUCUGUGGGACAAGUUCACUGAGUUUAUUGUAAAUUCAAAGCAUUGGCUACUACCCCAGUACUUGCGGUUAAUGAAGUAGUUUAUCAGUAAACAAAACCCUUUCUACCAGAGGGAUGAACGGGAUUGGGCAAAUCUCUAGCAUGUCUGCUGGCCUGCACUCUGCUGAAUGCUGGGGCUCCUACUGUGGCAGAUAGUGUGAUGAAUUCUUCAUCUUAGCACACAGCAUGGCUUGAAUGAGCAAGUGCCUUUCAAAUUAGGUUUAACCUGACAAAGACAGUGUUCUGUCAUGAUUGCACUAUUUUGCUUUGUUUUAUUUUUUAGAAUCGGGACUUUGUAGCUGUUGGACAGAUCAAUAUGAUGGGAAAAGAUGUUUCACCAGAGAUGUAAUGAUGGAAGGAUCAGCACAAUAGAAAGGUUCUAUAACGGAAGGAAAGAAGAUUGCUUAGCUGUAUCAGAAGAUUGCGGGUUCACAGGGGAAAGCUUCACCAAAAAGGGAUCUCCAGGAAGAGAUCCUCUCCCAGUGGCAAUCAGACCUUAAAUGAGAUCUAAGAGAGGUGCAGCCAGACUCCAUCCCUUCCGGUCACACAGGUGAACUGCCUUCAUCUGUGCUCCCAGGGCUGACUGGGUCCUUUCCCCAGGCACUCAAUAAGUUCAGGCUGUGACUCAACAGUUCCCAUACAGAAUUGAUGGAAAUUUUCAUAUGUAAAAUAGACAAUAGGGUUGCUAGGUGCACUUGGACGCCAAAAACUUGUUAAGUUGGUUUUGGUCUAGUUCUUAUUUUGUGCCCCAAAGUAACUUUGUAGACACAAACUAAAGUGUGCAAAUAUCUGCUCAAUCUGAUGCCGCAGUGGAUAACUAGAUAUCUUUUCUAGCAAAGGUUUAUGUUUAUCUGUUCCCUUGAGGAGAGGAAUAGAAGGAGAGAGGGUUUUAGAAAGUAAAUAGAUGUUUUAAAUUACUCUAUGGCAUUGAACCAGUGCAAACCAUUUUAUGAUCAAUUCCUGCAUUCAAUAAUUGGAUUCACCUUACUAGGUGGACCUGCACAGCAAGCAUGAGAAGAUUUCUCAUGUUAGCCCCAGACAAGUAGAUAAUGCUACCUCACAGCUUUGAGGGUUUUCCAUCCAUCUUGACAUUCUAACUAGGGAUUCCUAGGGAAGAGUAACGAUAUCACUGGUGGUGUGGUAUAGUUAGCUAAAGUGAAUAGCAAAGGUCUUAAAUACAAUCAUUGUAAGUUUUUGACAAAAGUCAUUAUUUAAAUAUAAAGGCAUGAAGGAAUACAUUUUCAAAGUAUUGCCUGGAGGAAUGGGUGUAUAUUUUUCUUUGUAGUCAGAGGAGUAGUACAUUUCAGACCUUGUCCUGUGUUAAAAAGUGCUCAGUAGAUGAGAUCUUAGGGCAUGCAAGUUUAGAAAAAAUUGCUUUAGGAGGUCCAGAUUGAACCUUAAAAGCUGUAUGUAGUCCUCAAAGCCUGGCUUGCAUAUUCACUUUCCCUGUCAUUUCAAGGUGAGGAGGCUUUUCAUUAGUGUUGAAAGGAUAUCAAAAGAACAAUCAGCUCUCACAAUGGUUUGAAUUUCUUUGUAUCGCUAUACAUGUAAAUAGUUGUGCAUAUGCAAGUUAGACCGUAGCUUUAGGGCUGCAGUUAAAUUGCUGGCAUACAUACCCCGUUGCACUAAGGUUGGAUUGCUUUGGUUUAUGUGCAGUACUUGUUGUUUGAGUAACAUUUAGAAAUGUUACUUAUUCUUUCUGGAUAUAAAGGCUAGAUGACAUGUGGGUGAACAAAUAGUUUGCAAUUGUUCAUGCCAUAGAGAACCUAUCUGUUUUAUUCCCUAUGAACUGCUUUCACCUCAGGAUUGCUCUUAAAACAUUACACAAACAACAGAGGGGUGCCUUUUAGCCAGCUGCCUUAGCCAUUCCUUUUGAAGCAGGUGUGCCACGUGAGUCUGCCAGCACAGACAUCAGUGAGCUCUCCUAGUGUGCCUUUGGCUUAUUAGGAGUAAUGCUUGCUACUUUCCAUUUUGUUGAAAGCCAGAGCUAUUAUGAUGCAGGUCCUCUUUAUCCGCUGAGACAAAGAGAAACAUAGCCCUAACUAUAAAAUAAGCUGACCAUAGUUUACCCAAAUAUGGGGACCAUGAUGAAGCAGAAUAUUUCCCCAUCCAAUAAACGAGGUCCAAGAGCUACUUGCAGAUCCCUGAGUGGAUGAAGGGUUUCUCAGGUGAAAGAUGCUGGGAACUGAGGAACCUCUGUUGAGUGGCUGUGGCUGAUGAGUUAGAGAUUAGCUGCAAAGUACUGACAGUAGAGAGCUGCUACCAUGUGGUUACCAGCUCUGAGCCU
This 32759-nucleotide long non-coding RNA is filed under the name Gallus gallus (chicken). Lineage: Eukaryota; Metazoa; Chordata; Aves; Galliformes; Phasianidae. The record is from RNAcentral.